GAUGAACGCUGGCGGCGUGCCUAAUACAUGCAAGUCGAGCGAACAGACGAGGAGCUUGCUCCUCUGACGUUAGCGGCGGACGGGUGAGUAACACGUGGAUAACCUACCUAUAAGACUGGGAUAACUUCGGGAAACCGGAGCUAAUACCGGAUAAUAUAUUGAGCCGCAUGGUUCAAUAGUGAAAGACGGUUUUGCUGUCACUUAUAGAUGGAUCCGCGCCGCAUUAGCUAGUUGGUAAGGUAACGGCUUACCAAGGCAACGAUGCGUAGCCGACCUGAGAGGGUGAUCGGCCACACUGGAACUGAGACACGGUCCAGACUCCUACGGGAGGCAGCAGUAGGGAAUCUUCCGCAAUGGGCGAAAGCCUGACGGAGCAACGCCGCGUGAGUGAUGAAGGUCUUCGGAUCGUAAAACUCUGUUAUUAGGGAAGGACAAAUGUGUAAGUAACUAUGCACGUCUUGACGGUACCUAAUCAGAAAGCCACGGCUAACUACGUG
RNAcentral lists this ribosomal RNA (497 nucleotides) under uncultured bacterium. RNAcentral describes it as "partial 16S ribosomal RNA". It matches the Rfam family "Bacterial small subunit ribosomal RNA", at positions 28 to 507 of the family's 1533-position model. The record is from RNAcentral.